GUAGCCGGGCGUUUCGUCGCUCACCGAUGAACAAGCGGUGUGAGGAAAGUCCGGGCAACACAGAGCGCCACACUUCUUAACGGGAAGCUGUCGGAAACGGCAGAGUAAUGUGACAGAAAACAACCGCCGCUACAUGCGGUAAGGGUGAAAAGGCGGGGUAAGAGCCCACCGGGUUCCAUGGUGACAUGGAAUGCCGCACAUCUUUGGGUUGCAAGACCAUGUAUACCGGCAUUUAAGGGUUGCUCGCCCAUUGUCGGGGGGUAGGUCGCUACAGCUGUGCGGCAACGUACAGCGCAGAUAAAUGACGAAACGCAGCGUCAAGCCGCUUUAUGCGGAACUGUCGGCUGCGACAUAACCCGGCUUAUAGCCCGGCUCCCUUU
This 380-nucleotide RNase P RNA is filed under the name Muribaculaceae bacterium Isolate-104 (HZI). RNAcentral describes it as "Bacterial RNase P class A". It matches the Rfam family "Bacterial RNase P class A". Rfam says of the family: Ribonuclease P (RNase P) is a ubiquitous endoribonuclease, found in archaea, bacteria and eukarya as well as chloroplasts and mitochondria. Its best characterised activity is the generation of mature 5'-ends of tRNAs by cleaving the 5'-leader elements of precursor-tRNAs. Lineage: Bacteria; Pseudomonadati; Bacteroidota; Bacteroidia; Bacteroidales; Muribaculaceae. The record is from Rfam by way of RNAcentral.